RNAcentral lists this long non-coding RNA (291 nucleotides) under Trifolium pratense (red clover). Its description in RNAcentral is "long non-coding RNA (TPRA_LNC004617)". The record is from RNAcentral. Lineage: Eukaryota; Viridiplantae; Streptophyta; Magnoliopsida; Fabales; Fabaceae.
AGGAGGAGAAUAAAUAUGCUUGUGAAAAAUCACCUAAAAGUCAUAACAAAUGCAAUGUUUCUACCAUGAAGUCCACAAGGCACAAAGAUGCUAAAGCUUGCGAUAAGAAGAAAAAUCAAAACAAGAAGAUUAAUUUUUCAAGAAGCUCAGAUUGGAUACGCACAAAAGAUAUUCAGUCAAGGAGGAGUGUUGAGAAUAAUAUGCCUAAAUAUCUUCUGAAGAUCUUAGAUUUAAAUAUUAUUUAGAUUUAUAUUUAAAAUAUGAUAAUAUUAGGUUUUAUGAUUUAUAUUU